Molecule: long non-coding RNA, 3340 nt
Filed under: Canis lupus familiaris (dog)
Lineage: Eukaryota; Metazoa; Chordata; Mammalia; Carnivora; Canidae
Description: lncRNA (ENSCAFG00030015459.1)
Source: RNAcentral
AUGCCCAGCAUUCUGGGAGGUGAGAGUGACUUUAAACCUCUCACCGUAGGAUGUAACAUCUUAUACCAGGACAUGGUCUCCAGCAAAACUCAGGGAAGACAGAGCUUGAACAGGCGUGAGAAGAGGACUCCAGAAACUGUUCAUCUGGGAAAGCUGCUGGGAGGCAGGCUGGCGCGUUUUCGCAGCUUGAGAUUGGCGGCUGCCUGCGCGGGGUGGGCGCCGGGCUCCAGGCGGCUGUCCGGCUGUCCGGCCGUCUGGCUGUCCGGCCCGGCUGUCCGGCUGUCCGUGCCCGUCUGUUCGGCUGUCCGGCCAGGCUGUCUGGCUAUCCGGCUGUCCCUGCCCGGCUGUCCAGCUCUCCAGCUGUCUGGCCGUCCGGCCGUCCGACUGUCCGGCUGUCCGGCUGUCCGCCCGCGGAGGGCUGCACCUGCCGACGCGUGUGAGCAGGGGGGAUGGGGCCGCCCUCACCGGCCUGGACGGCCGAGCUGCGCCCGACGCUCCCCCUCCGUCCGGCCGCCGCCUUGGGAGGACCGCCUUCCCAGGUCAUCAACGAGAAGGCCAAGAACGAGCCGCCCCGGCCCUAGGGAGUACGAGCGGAGGUUAGAUCUUGGCGACUCUAAACCCACGUCCUCGGCACCUCUCCAGGCCGGAGGGCAACCUCCCGUCAGCUGGCCGGGGCGCGCAGUCUGCGUUCAUCCUUUCAUUCAUUCAUUCAUUCAUUCAUUCACUCGAUCGGAUCGUGACAGGCCUCCGGGGGGCUGAGCCCUGUCUGGGCAUCCCGCGGUGCCCACAGACCUGGCGUCGGAGCUCACCUUCCCGCAGGGGCCUCAGCAAAGCAACAGCGGGAUAGAGAAGUGAACUGAAUUGCAGAUUGUGACAGAUGCUCCGAAGAUACUAGACCAGUCCACACACUGAGUCCAGAAGCCCCGCCUGGAUGGGGGCUGCUUGAGAGGGUCCUGCCUGCGGGAAGGGUGGCUCAGGGUUGAGCGCCUGCCUUGGGCCCAGGGUGUGACCCCCAGGUGGGAUGGAGUCUCACCUUGGGCUCCCUACAGGGAGCCUGCUUCUCCCUCUGCCUGUGUCUCAUGAAUAGAUAAAUAAAAAAAAUAUAUAUAUAUUUUUAAGGCCUGCCUGAGAAGGUGCCAUCAGAGCUGAGAACAGAACGAUGCCUGGUGAAGGUAGAGCCAGCAGCUCUGGGUUCCAGUUUCAGCACCUGUCAGCCGUGUCACCUUGGGCAAGUCAUUCUUUCUGAUCUCUUGUCGCUCAUCUGUGAAAAGGAAGUGAUGACAGAGGGGCUGUGGGAGUCAUAGCAGGGUGUGUAAAGCACCCAGCGCAGUGCCCUGCUGGAAGAGACGCCCACUGUUACUGCUGCUGUCACUGUACUUUCUGAUCCAGGCCUGGGGUCUGCUCACUCUUGGCAGUGAGGCUGUGAGAUCGAAAGCCUUUAUGGCGAACUCCAGAGACCAUCAAGCCUGGUGGGGCAGACCUGGGUACCAGGCCAGGAAUUUGGGGCCUGAUUUCAGGCCUGGCUCUAAUACCUGCUGCUUGGUGACCCUGGCAGGUCAGAGAACAUACAAGGUCUCUAUGAGCCCCUUUCCUGCCUCCCAGGAUGGCUGUGGCCAGGAUAUUCAGGUGCUUUGAGCAGCUCUGCUUCAAUCCAGCUCUUUUGUCCAACCAGCUGCAUGACUUUGACAAGUCUCCCUGUCUCUGGGCCCUGGUUUUCUCACAUCUGCCAAAGGGAUACAAGAAUAUCCACUUUGGGCUCAUUGUGAGGCGCAGAUGAGAUGUAGAAUGUGACAGUAUAGUGGCCCCUCUCUUAUCCAUGGUUUUGCUCUCUGUGGUUUUACUUACUUAUUUUUUUAAGAUUUUAUUUAUUUAUGUGACAGAGAGGGAGAGAGAAAGAGAGAGCACACAAGCAGGAGGGGUGGCAGGCAGAGGGAGAAGGAGAAGCAGGCUCCUGCCCGAGCAGACCCUGGGACCAUGACCUGAGCCAAAGGCAACCGCUUGACUGACUGAGCCACCCAGGUGCCCAGCUCUCUUGGUCAACCGUGGUCUGGAAGCAGGUGAUCCUCCUGACAUAUCCAAUGAAGGUCAAUAGUAGCCUAAGGCUAUGUCACCAUGCCUGUGUCACUCACCUCAUUCCAUCUCAUGUCAGCAUUUUGCCAUCCCAUAGCAUCACAAGAACACAAGUGAGAACAGCACCAUAGGGUAUUUUGAGAAAGAGAGAGAUCACACUCACAUACCUUUUGCUACAGUAUGUUGUUAUAGUUGUUCUAUUUUAUUACUGGUCUGGUUGUUAAUCUCUUACUGGGCUUAAUUUAUGAAUUAAACUUUAUCACAGGUGCAUAUGUAUAGGAAAAAACAGUGUAUGUAGGGUUCGGUACUCUUCAGAGUUUCAGGCCCCCACCAGGGGUCUUGGAAUGCAUACCCCGUGGAUGAGGGGGGACCACUGUACUCCGAGUGCUGUGCAGCCGAGAGAAGUGGAGGGCUGCUGUGCUUGAGCUUAGGGUCAUACUCACCCCCACCCCUCAGAGAGAGGGCACCUUGGCCAUGGGCUAAAUUGGAGCUACUCUUGAAGUGAGGGCAGGGACUGAGUCUCAGGAGAGUGAGAGUGAGCUUUCCACAGAUGUGCAAAUGACUGGUUGAAGUCAGUGUCCUAAGUUGUUCACCCUGAGGUAAAGGGAACUUAGGUCCACCAUACCUGUCUCUAAAUAACCAGAAGGAACAGAGGCGAUCUAGCAAUCUCGAGGCACCUGCUGUGAGCCAGUGAACCCUCACAUGCUUCACAGAGAAGAUAGCUCCAGUUCAGCGAGGUUAAGCAACAUGUCCAGAAUCACACAGCUUGUAAAUGAAUUUGAAUCUAGUUCUCUCUGACUCCCAAAGGCAGAUCUUGUUUUGUAGGGCCUGAAGCAUAUUCCAUUUGGGUGGGGCUGGGGGGUGGGUGCAGGAGGUGAGGAGGACAGAGGAGGGGAGUCUUAAAGACAGACAUUUUAUAAGAACGCAACAUUUGGUACGAAAAUGACUAUUGGGGCCCCUGGGUGUCUCAGUAGUUGAGCAACUGCCUUUGGCCCAGGUCAUGAUCCUGGGGUCUUGGGAUCGGGUCCCACAUCCACUCCCUGCAUGGAGCCUGCUGAUCCCUCUGCAAGUGUCUCUGCCUCUCUCUGUGUGUGUCUCUCAUGAAUAAAGAAAUAAAAUCUUUAGAAAAAAAAAGGAAAGUGACUAUUGGUCUAGAAUGAAAAGAAAAGAAGGGGCCUUGGGAGGGCCCAUGCCCAAUGAGGGCCCUGGGAGCUUCCCCAUAAACUCUGAAGACAUCACAAGGCUACUGUUUAUUGCUCAUAGAAAUCCC